CCUAAUUUUUAUCACAUAUAUACCCCUUUUAUCCUAUCUAAAGAAUAUUGCAAGUAAAACAAACUAAACACAACAAGGUUUGUAGUGACUAGACACAUCUUUAAACAAGGUUAAUCAAGAUUGAAUGUGCACUAGCAGUCUGUCUUCGUCAUCACUCGAGUCAGGUGGCACCCUAGUCUUGAUUGGUUUAAGCUUCAGGCCCAUACUUUCAGGAGAGAGGAGCUCUGCCGAAAUGCAUGACGGGCUAAGUGGGCUUCUCGGACUGCCGUUCGGCUGGUACGGCCUGUACAGGCCGUACGCCAUGAGGAAGUACUCCAUUGGUAUCAACAUUGCAUGUGGCUGCUCCUCUGUGACCAAUGAUCCGCAUGCUUGGACCUGUAAAAAUAUUGUCAGAUGUGAAGCUAAAUUUUCCUUCAGAGAAGAAUCUCGACUUAUGGAAUUUUUUUCAAUGAAAAAUCUGUGAUUACUUCUACUGAAACAACGAAGAGAAUCAUGUGAAGCAGACAAACAUUUAAGGUAUCAUACCUCAACCAAGGCACAAUAUCUUCGGUCCAGUUUUGCAGUCAUGUGGAGAGCUUCUGUAUGGAAAGGAGAUUGAUCCCCCACAAAGAUUAGCGUUCGGCAUUUUAAUGUCUUUAGGCCUUCGGUAAUGUCAGGUCUCCUAAUGAUAAAUACAUGGAAGUUUAGAUACUAUGCAGUCAAAAGAAAUGAUUCUUUAGGCAAUACUGAUUACUACUGCAUGUCUUGCUGUAAUACACAAACAGAUCUUUUUAUUCGAAUUACCUAUUUAUUGCUUGGAGAAACCGCAAAACAUUUGUGCCCUGCUUCUCAUCCAGUAACUGCAACAAAGAACAAUAAAUUCAAACUUAAGAAGCCAAACACUGCAGAACAAAUAGAUUUAGUAACAUCUUGCCAAAGCAGGAAAUUGCAUCCUUUCCUAUAACAUGGCACAGUAAUAAAAUGCAGGGUAGAAUGGCCUAAAUAUUGAGAUUUCUAAGAUUUUUUCCAUUCAAAACUGGUAUCGUGCAAGUACACACUACAAUCAAAUUAUUUAGAUAAGAUAAUAAAUGUCUAGUACACUCAUAUGCAUGACAAAGAAAGGUGUACUGAAAGACCUAAGGUAUUAACCUUUCUGCAUGCUUGAACAAUAUCUGAUUCUGGGAAUUCUGGGCUGCCACGAACUUCCUGAUAGGAUUCAUGAAGUCUCGUUAUUCAAACCAACAGGUAACAAGAAUUAUCAAAUUAAUCAUAUAUAAUGAAUACUAUUGCUAAAGUUUUAUUUCACCUCACUGAAGUAUCGGUAGAGUAAACACUGCUUCAGUAAAUGACACAUCCCAUAGAAAUAUAGCAAAUUUGACAUUACCUGCACUCAUAAAUAAAAAUAAGGUUCGUAAACUGUUCUGUUGGUACCUUAAUUAGAGCAGGAAGUGUAACAAUGUCAUAUUAAUACCUUGUUACACAACCAUUCAGUCCAUGAGGGUGCUUUACAUAGAGGAGAGAUGAGUAUCAGACCAAGAACUCGUUCCCUGUAUUUUAUCUGUAAUAUAAACCAAAAAAAAUCAACAAUCCUAAAAUUCGUUUGAGAAAGCAUGACAACUGAGAGUAGUACAGAUUGAUACAUACAGCAAACAGGGUGACGAUAUAAGCUCCCGCCAUUGCCCCCAGGAACAUCACUGCACCAAGCCUGAAAGGAGUGAUAUAUGAUUGGUUAAAAACAAUCAGCCCAGACACACACACACGCACACAUUAUAUACAAAUGAACACUUUCAGAAAAGAUCCUCUGUCGCAUCUUUUGCUUCCAAGAAAUUGGCCAACUAAUUAGUCCCCUGAUUAAAAAGAUAAUUCUUUCACACAUAAUUUGCUUCCCAGAGAGAGUCUCAAUUCUAAUGUAACAGAAUACAGUCAAACAAUAUCCUCAAUUACAGUACUACAGAAUAGCUAAAGUAAAAAACAAUCAUCACGGACAUAACUAGUAAAGUACAGCCUUGUUUUUAAUAUUGCUUUAACUAUUAAAACCAGUGCAUGAAAAUCUAGUCCACAUGGUAUAUGUUAUACAAAGUCUUAGUACCAGAUCUAUCACUCAAAGAGUUUACCUAAAAUAAUUAAGCACCUCAAGGAUUUGAUCCGUUAAAUCAUCAACAGAAGGCACAAUGGCAUCAGGACAAAUUGCUGCAGCUCCUAACUGCAAGAACUCUUAUAAGAAGCCAGAAUAUAAUUAAAAUUUGUAUAAUGGCACCUGUUGACAAAGAGAAAUACUCGCAAAACGUAAAGUAAUAUGAAAAUGAAAUAGAAAUUUAAUUGCAAAGUAGUUAUAAAGCAAAGAAUUCACAAACCUCGUGCCCGGGGGGACUGAUAUGGUAGAUGCAGAAAUUAUGAAGCAGCAGAGAUGCUGCUUCUGGACAAAAGAACAAACCUUGGAAGCAAGACAUAUCUGUUUAUUCAAGAAAGUAACGAUAAAAGCUUCAUUACGAUACAUAUAAUAACAAAUAACACGAAUACAAAACCGUGAUAUGAUGAAAGAAGAAAAAUGAAGCUUACGAUUUAAAGCCAAAUCAGGAUAGGUAAGCAAAGCUGGUUUAUCUGGGUCCCCAUAAACAAUAACAGAGACAGGACCACAGCGGGUCUUGACAAUAUGUUCCUAAACGAAAUUAACAAGCUGUCAAACUGCUUAGAUAAAUAUAAGGAAGCAUAUAUAGGGGAAUCAACACCAGAAACAUGAAAAAAAAAUUGAGGUUUUACUUUAGACUGUCCACUUCAAAUAAUUGAUCCAAACAAUUUUUUAAAAAUGCAAAUUAAUGAUCAUUUUCUUUAUUAAUGAACAUUAAGCUAACAUAAAUCUCAGUUAAAAAAAUUAUUCUUUAAAAAAUCAUACAUGUGCACAGUCCCCUUUCUAAGCCAGCUUACUUCAAGAAUUAACUAAAGUUUGCUAUUGAAUAAAUGGCUUCUAAUACUUGCUGGGUGACUACUGACUACACACCAGAUAAGAUUUUCUACUUCAAUCAACAUAAUGAUGAUGACACCCAACCAAUAAGAGACAAGUAAUACACUUUUUCAAGGGAAAGCAACAGUUAGCUAUGUCAAAAAGUGACAGUUGUUACAAAAAAAUCAUCUGAUGACUGUAUUUUUCUACCAAUUAAGAUAAGAACUCAAAAUUAAUAACAAAUGAGAAACACGGCACAUAGAUCGAUACAAACGCAAAAUUGUAAUUAGAAGAAGUGUCUUAAGCUAUGUUUGUUCAGGGGAUAAAUAUUUCAAAUUAUUGGUUUGCAGUACUUGCUGUAAAUUGCUAAAUUUAUAUCUAAAGCUAUAUCACCAGUUGAAUCUCAAUCAAUCAUCUCACCAUUUUAAUGGCUUAAUAAACACCUGGGGAGAUAGCAGGAUUACCGAGGCCCUUAAAAUGAACUAGAAAGUGACUGAUAUAGAGGAUAAGAACAACAAAAUUAGCAAGUAUAAAAUCCCAUUGAAUUUGUUUUGAAAUCAUACCAUCAGUUUUAUAAAAAAGGAUCAUAACACCUAAUUGACACAAACACUAUCCAAAAUUGUUACCUCCAACAAUAAUUAAUGCAAACAAGCAAGACCUUGGUGUUGCUAUGAUCAAGUUCACUCCAAUUGUGGGCAUCAAUCAUUUAAUUCGGGGAAAGCAAAAAUCUUAACUGUUGUAAUUAAACUACACUCAGCUAAACUAACACAAACAGACACACAGUAACUCAUCAAAUAGACAAGGCUCAUAAAUAUGCAAGUCAAGAAACCCAAACACAAGAACCAAAGAUACCAAAAUUAACAAGAAUUCGAUAAAUGAAAAGUGAAAGAUCUACAAUUUCAAGAAUUACACAAACCCCACUUAAAAAGAUUGCACUUUGAUCCACCCCAAGAAUCCAAAACCAAAAAAAAAAAAAAAAAAAUUCACAACAAAAGAAACCCCAUUCUGCAGUUGGGUAUGUAUUAUAUCCAAGAACACACCUUCGACUAAAAAAAUAAAAUAUUUUCAGAUGAUUUAUAUAUAUAAUACCUUUCCACCAAGAAGAAUAGUGUUCAUAUCAACAAGAACCGAACCACUUGACUCAGCCAUGCUUGUCAGCUCUCUUCUAUCUCUCUCUCCUCUCUCUGUUUAGAAGAUUUGAGUUUGGGUGGCUUAGAGGAAGGGGUUGCUUUGUUCUGGCUUGCUUUCUCUCUCUAGAAUUUAUAUUUAGUGAGAGAGAUAUACAGUUGUGUCUGGUCAAGAAAUUGGUAAAGCCAGUUUGUCAUAGCUGACCAUGGUCAAAUAUUUUAACCAUGGUUAACCGCCGACAGCUUGGCCGUUGUUUUCUCGUAUUCUUGUAGAUACGGUGUCGUUCUGGUUGAAAUUUGUUAGACAGAUUUAAAAUUCCGCUAGAUAGAGCCAUAGAGGAGUGAUGUUGCUAUAAAACUUGUUAAUGAUAUUUGAUUUCUAAUUUUGUAUUUUAUUUGAUGCCUCUUUUCUUUACCUCAGGGAAUUCACCCGCAUUUAAAAGUAGUUUUACUGAUUAAUUUAAUUCACUUUUGAAUAAAAAUAUAAUAUUUACAUAUUCAUUUAGAAAUAUAAAAUAUUAGGCAAAUUAUAAAAUUAUAUAAUAUUGGUCAAACAGGGAAAAAGAAGUAAAAUGAAAUGCAGGGAGGACUGUGAAAAAUAUAUUUUAAUGUUGAAUCGUAAUCAUAUCUAUGUUAUACUAUUAAAAUCGAGAUAUUAAAAGUUUGGUCGUCGAUACUUAGGCAGAAUUAUGGGCCACUUAUAUAAUUGAUUAUUUUUUUUAACUAAAAUUAUUUUAUUUUUAUAUAUUUCUUGACUAAAAAAACUUAAUUUUUUAAAAAUAACAUUGGAUAACAUAGCAACUACUAAAAAACUGAUUUUCUAAAAUAACACAGACAACAUACAUAUAAAAAAGUAAAGAUAAUAUUAUUAUAUAUAUGUAUUAACAUAAAAUUUAAUGUACGUUCAACUAAAUACAGAAAUUUUAUUUUUAAUUACUCCAUGUUAUUUUAAAUGUAAUUAUAUCAUAAAUAUAUACUAUUUGUUUAUAUUAUACUAUACUAUAUUAUUAUUGUUAUUAUUAUCUUAUUAGAACUGAUAUAUUAGUAAUUUUAUUGGGUCAGUAUUACUGAUUUAUUUUUAAUUAAAAAAUAUAGACAAUAAAAUUAAAAAUAUUAUAAAUCACUCGUGCAUAGCACUGUUUAUAAGCUAGUUUUAAUUACGAUAUAGGAUCGAUGUGAGGAACAGUAUUGUAUUAAUAAGGUUAAUAUUAAAUUGGCCACCUUUUGGGACAAAAUAUCUUGUUUGACCCACUUAUUUUAUGGGGGACUUAUUUAAGCUAUUAUAAAUCAGUUAUAUAUCAUUUCACCCACUUUAUUAUUCAUACCUCUUUACUUAAUUCUUUAUCAGAAAUAAACUGUUUGUUAUGUUACUAUAACAUCACUUCGAGUAUUUUCAUAAUUGUUUCUAAUAUUUAUCAAAAUGAAUUGGGGAUUUCUGAAGCAGCAUAACUAGGGUGAUCACAUAAAUAUAUAUAUAUCUAUAGCUUUUUUUUUUAACGAUGUAGCUAUGUUUCUAGGAAUUUCAAAAUUAUUAUGAUAAAUAUCAGAGACACAUAUUAAAGUACCGAAGUGGUUUUGUAGUAAAAAAACAAACUAUUGAUUUUUGAUAAAUGAUUAAAUAAAAAUAGGUAUGAAUAGUUAUGUGGCUAAAAUGAUAUAUAUAUAUAUAUAGGGGUUUGUUCAAAUACAAACCAACUUUAUCAUAAAAACCUAAAAACCAAUUUCAAAACUAAACAAAUAUCCCCCCAAACUCUUAAAAACUAACAAUAUCACCCCCCUAGCUUUGCCAUCAACUUCCCCAAACUUACACUUUCCACCUCGCCACGUCACCGCAGGGGUCCCCCACUGCUGACGUGGCACUGCCACGUCAGCACUGGGUCACACCCACUGCUGACGUGGCAGAUGAUGUCAGCAGUGGACCCCCCCCACAUAUAUAUAUAUAUAUAUAUAUAUAUAUAUAUAUGGUUUAUAGUGGCUUAAAUGAGUCCCUGAUAACAUGAGUGGGUCAAGUGAGAUAUUCUGACGCAACGGGGUGAUCAGUUUGAUAUAAACCCUAUAUUAAUAUAACGAUCCUAUUUAGGAAUUAACUGUUAGGUUUGAAUUAAUUGUUUUCUAACUUAUUUAAUUAGCUGUUUUGACUAGAUAAUUCAAUUAGUUGUUUGUAUAAAAGCGUUUGGUAAAAUACUAUUAGCUGAUAGUUACUUAAAUAACACAAAAUGACUAAUAAAAACACUGAAAUAUAUUUAAAAUUAAAUAAUAAUCAUUCGUUUUGUUUAAUGCAGGAACAUUAAUAUCAACUUUAACGUUUUAAGUGAAACUUAAUUUUUAAAAAAAUGUUUAAUCUGUUAAAAAAAUAUUAUAUUCAUAAUCGCCGGAUAUUCAUCCAACAACUGGAAAUGACAAAUCUUCCGUAACACACAUGCCAAGGACUACACCCAUUUCACAUUGUCUUCUAACUUUAGAUGAGAUUAGCUUCACAAGUCCUUUAGACCAAAACGUACGUGAAAAUUAGAUUAAUUAGAGUAUCUUCGGCACUGAUAAAUCAGGAGGCUAUCUAAAUAUAUGAUACAUAAUUCAAGUUUUAAAAAGUGAGGAUUUAAUAUUGAUUCACAACUUUAACAAUAAUCACUACCUAUGUUGCCUAUUAUUAAAGUCAAAAUCUUUUAACAAAAUGAUAAAAUAUGAGAAAAAGUAUACAAAAGGUGAGGUUUGAAUACUUAAUUAUUAAAAAACAAAUGAAGGGUGGGAUAAGCAUGAAAAAUGAAUACUUAAUAUUUAAAGAAUGAACAGAAUUCUCCUGCAAUGAGGCUUUUAGAGCACCGGCAGAUUAGUUAAAUGAGGUCCUAAGCUAUAAUUUUGAGUAAUAUGUAUAAAAACUCACAUCAACAGACUGCUCAUUCCCUAAAAAUUUUCCAUUCCUCAUAAAUAAUGCAUAACACAUUCCUCAUUUGAUUUUUAAUGAUUAGAUAUUCAACCCUCACCUUUUGAACACUUUUUCUCGAAAGAAUUUGAAUUUAAUAUUAUAAUAAUAAUAGAGAACACAAAUAGAGAUUAGUGUUGGAGUUGUCAAUCAAUAUAAAAUCCCUAUUUUUUAGAAAUUGAAUUGUGUGUUGAAGUUGUCAAUCAAUAUAAAAUCCCUAUUUUUUAGAAAUUGAAUAUAAAAUCCCUAUUUUUUAGAAAUUGAAUUGUUUAUCGUAUAUUUAGAAACCUCCCUAGACACUUCCAGAGAUGCUCUACAUAUUCCUUAAAAUUAUAAUAUAUAACUAAUAUGUUGGAGAUGCUUGGCAUCAAGCACUUUAUAUGAUUGUUAAAGAAUCAAAAGAACGAAACAACUGUAAUCUGCCUUAUGUCUCAAGUAACAAAAGAAUGUCCUGUCCCCUACCUAUUUUUUUAUCACAUAUUUACCCCUUUUAUCCUAUUUAAAGAAUAUUGCAUGUAAAACAAACUAAAUACAACAAGGUCUGUAGUAACUACAAACAGCUUUAAACAAGGUUAAUCAAGAUUGAAUGUGCACUAGCAGUCUGUCUUCAUCAUCACUUGAGUCAGGUGGCACCCUAGUCUUGAUUGGUUUAAGCUUCAAGCCCAUACUUUCAGGAGAGAGGAGCUCUGCAGAAAUGCAUGACGGGCUAAGUGGGCUCCUCGGGCUGCCGUUCAGCUGGUAAGGCCUGUACAGGCCGUAUGCCAUGAGGAAGU
RNAcentral lists this long non-coding RNA (7740 nucleotides) under Daucus carota (carrot). Its description in RNAcentral is "long non-coding RNA (DCAR_LNC002482)". Lineage: Eukaryota; Viridiplantae; Streptophyta; Magnoliopsida; Apiales; Apiaceae. The record is from RNAcentral.